CAGAUACCGCCGCUGUCAUUUUUGCGCAAACUGUCGUUUAAGCUAUUGCCUGACUUCCACUGGGUUACUUGCAUCAUCGUUUCAUCUGCAUCUAUCUACAAUAAUUCUGAAUGCCUCGUAAAGGAAUGGGGGUCACUCGUCGGGUUCCCAUGGUUAUAUGGAGUCAUCAAGCUUUGUGGGAAUUCCAUGGCUGCAGAUGCAGAGAACUUUGGCUCUCACCUCAUCUUUACGCAGGUCACUCUCUGGACUGGCGCUAUUAUGAAGCAGGCUCUAUCAAGCUGAUGUGUAUGGUCAUCUUUCAGUUGAGUUCUAGGUAAGAGUCGGCUCAUCUUUAAAGUCCACGUGAACUGGAGGUCGCUGCUGACUUUAUUUCAGUGUGGUGACGUAUUUCCAGCUGAAACGGAAUAUUGAAUAGAGGGCAUGGUUUUUGUUUGCACUUCUAGUCUCUGUCUUUCACUUAUCGCAAACUAAUGGCUGGAGGGGUGUGUUUAAGGAUAUUCUGCCCAUGCCGUCAAACUGACGUCAUUAGAAAAGGAAUGCCAUUCCACAGCAGAAGUAAAUGUUCAGAUUUUGAUUAAGGAUUACAAAGAAGAUUAUUUCUUUCUUUUUCAGCGGAUUAACUUGCACAGAUCAUUUACAUCAAUACUAGCCAUGUGUGCUAGUAAAGUCAAUUGAUUUCACGCAGACUUUAAGUUAUAAUCGAGGCUUGUUUGGUCUUACCCGGCUGUUGCUGCCUUCACCUUACACAGACUGCUGAGGCACUUUGCAUAACUCUGCUAUGAUGGUCAUCAGGGACGGUGUCCAUUACAGUUAUGAGUUUGGCCUAUUGUGGCCUUCACAUGUCACAACGACUUUGCUUAAAUUGAGUAUCUCUUUUUAUGGUCAUGCUGAUCUGGCUCAUUUUCUAUUUUUUUUUGGGGGGGGGAUAGGUUGCUCUGCAGUUUCUGGCAGUUAGAUGGAGUUUUAUCAAGAGUGCGCAGGAGUCUAGCCUAAAGAAUUGUAUCUGUGUAUAUGCUCUUAUGUCUGCUAGAACCCUAAUGCUACCUCUUAUCAAUUAACCUAAUCACCUUCUCAGUGAGGUGGUUUAGAAUUCCUGUAAUUUGCCUUCAGGCUGCUAUGUUCAUGAUCCUCCUCAUUGGAUGUCCGUCAAGAUCAGACUUUAUUCACGUAAUGCUCAAGGUACAGUAUAAUACUCUUAGCAAACUACUGGUGGUGACUACUUCUCACAUGCUCCCCAUGUCCAGUUUAUCAUGGUUUUUCACACACAAUGGUCUAUCGUUGUCAUCUACACAAGGCUUUCACAUCACAUAGCUUAAAGAAAAGUACAUUGCCCAUCAAUGUAAUGUAAUGCGUGUGUUUAAGGUAAAUUAAGCAAAUACUGGUGGUGGUGGUGUUACACCUAUUCAUUACUUUUACUCUUCCACAGCCUCUCGCAGGCUUCCGUCAUGGCCUUAGCAGCUAUACUCUCUAUGGCCUCUUGUAGCGUUCUUUCACGGCCUAUCGGGGCCUUUGUCUCUGCGGCUGGUUCAGCUCAAUGUAGUCACGUUUAGAAGCUGCGGUCUGUCACCGCUUCUAUACACUGGUCACUAAUGCUGUUGAACUCGGAGUACAAACAUCAGAUAUGAAGCUACUG
Long non-coding RNA from Cyprinus carpio carpio, 1633 nucleotides. The record is from Ensembl. Lineage: Eukaryota; Metazoa; Chordata; Actinopteri; Cypriniformes; Cyprinidae.